UACGUAGGUGGCAAGCGUUGUCCGGAAUUAUUGGGCGUAAAGGGAGCGCAGGCGGGAAGGUAAGUCGGUCUUAAAAGUGCGGGGCUCAACCCCGUGAUGGGAUCGAAACUAUCUUUCUUGAGUGCAGGAGAGGCAAGUGGAAUUCCCAGUGUAGCGGUGAAAUGCGUAGAUAUUGGGAAGAACACCGGUGGCGAAGGCGACUUGCUGGGCAGCAACUGACGCUGAGGCGCGAAAGCCAGGGGAGCAAACGGG
Molecule: ribosomal RNA, 252 nt
Filed under: uncultured microorganism
Description: partial small subunit ribosomal RNA
Rfam family: Bacterial small subunit ribosomal RNA
Source: RNAcentral